RNAcentral lists this ribosomal RNA (254 nucleotides) under uncultured bacterium. RNAcentral describes it as "partial 16S ribosomal RNA". It matches the Rfam family "Bacterial small subunit ribosomal RNA", at positions 524 to 776 of the family's 1533-position model. The record is from RNAcentral.
UACGUAGGCACCAAGCGUUGUUCGGAUUUACUGGGCGUAAAGGGCGCGUAGGCGGCCACCGCAAGUCAGUUGUGAAAUCUCUGGGCUUAACCCAGAAAGGUCAACUGAUACUGCGGGGCUAGAGUGCAGAAGGGGCAACUGGAAUUCUCGGUGUAGCGGUGAAAUGCGUAGAUAUCGAGAGGAACACCUGCGGCGAAGGCGGGUUGCUGGGCUGACACUGACGCUGAGGCGCGAAAGCUAGGGGAGCGAACGGG